GCUCAGAGUAUAAGCCAAUGGAGCUUGGAAGGCUUCCGCAGAUGGUGUCCAUCAUACGUGGUGUUCUUAAGACCUUGAGUGUGGCUCGUCAGGCGAAGCAUUGAGUUUGCCGGGUAGCUGUCGUGCGGGGGUUCGGCUUGGAGGUCUUAGGCUUCGGCCGAAGGGCUUCCGGCUGUCCCCUUUUGAAUGGACGUUCAGAGCUCUUGUGUCUAAUGCGGUUAUGCCCACCACAGCACGUUGUGAGGUCACCCACAGGCUCAAACUGCCGAUCGCGCAUCCAGGACGAUGGCAACGAUGCGUUGUUGAUGAUGGCUCGAGACAGAGACUUCACUCACACGCGUGUCUAGUCCUGGGUCGGGCGGCGACCGAGAUAAACCUGGUAUGAUCCUCUUGCGACGAGCUGCUUUCUGGCCAGACCGACGUCCAGGCGCUUCCACUGUGCCGGAAGCGUCUAUCCCAGGCGGUGUGAACCCAGCUGCAUUAUGCAAGGUCUCUCAGCCGGGCGUUGGUCUGAGUGGUGUUAAGUCCAGCACCAUCGGUCACGUCUCGAAACACGGGCCAAGGAGUAUAGCAUGUGUGCAAGUCUAAGGGUCUCACAAAACCCGAAGGCGAAGUGAAAGCAAGACUGUGGCGGGGGAGCUACGGCAAACCCGCCGGCCUAGUGGCGCGUGCGUCGCCUGGCUUUUAGCAGAGCUGAUCCUGUUUAUCGGUUAAUUCUUGGUGCAGGCGCAAGCUCCGGGCUCACGUACAACACUGGUCACGCCUCGCG
This 769-nucleotide ribosomal RNA is filed under the name Niphargus rhenorhodanensis. Its description in RNAcentral is "partial 28S ribosomal RNA". The record is from RNAcentral. Lineage: Eukaryota; Metazoa; Arthropoda; Malacostraca; Amphipoda; Niphargidae.